UACGUAUGGUGCAAGCGUUAUCCGGAUUUACUGGGUGUAAAGGGUGCGUAGGUGGAAUGGUAAGUCAGAUGUGAAAACUAUGGGCUCAACCCAUAGACUGCAUUUGAAACUGUCGUUCUAGAGUGCAGGAGAGGAAAGUGGAAUUCCCAGUGUAGCGGUGAAAUGCAUAGAUAUUAGGAGGAACACCAGUGGCGAAGGUGGCUCUCUGGACUGUUACUGACACUGAGGCACGAAAGCGUGGGGAGCAAAC
Molecule: ribosomal RNA, 250 nt
Filed under: uncultured prokaryote
Description: partial 16S ribosomal RNA
Rfam family: Bacterial small subunit ribosomal RNA
Source: RNAcentral